UACGAAGGGGGCUAGCGUUGCUCGGAAUCACUGGGCGUAAAGCGCACGUAGGCGGGUCGCUAAGUCGGGGGUGAAAUCCUGGAGCUCAACUCCAGAACUGCCUUCGAUACUGGCGACCUUCGAGUCCGGGAGAGGUGAGUGGAACUCCGAGUGUAGAGGUGAAAUUCGUAGAUAUUCGGAAGAACACCAGUGGCGAAGGCGGCUCACUGGCCCGGUACUGACGCUGAGGUGCGAAAGCGUGGGGAGCAAACAGG
Molecule: ribosomal RNA, 254 nt
Filed under: uncultured bacterium
Lineage: Bacteria
Description: partial 16S ribosomal RNA
Rfam family: Bacterial small subunit ribosomal RNA
Source: RNAcentral